This 740-nucleotide long non-coding RNA is filed under the name Macaca mulatta (Rhesus monkey). Its description in RNAcentral is "lncRNA (ENSMMUG00000062290.1)". Lineage: Eukaryota; Metazoa; Chordata; Mammalia; Primates; Cercopithecidae. The record is from RNAcentral.
CACAAACAGUUAUUUCACCAAAGAAGAACUAUUAAUGGAAAAUAAAGACACGAAAAUAUACUCGACAACAGUUAUUAGGGAAAUGCAAAAUAAAACCACAACAAGAUACCACUUGUCAACAAAUAAUAGACUAAUGCUACUAUUUGUCAACAAAUAGUAGACGAAUACUCUAAUGCUAUGUCAUAAUGCCUAAGAUAUUCACCUCACUUUUUCUUGUCACAUAGGAAUUCUGUCAUCUUACAUGAUCACAUGAAGGAAAAGAAGGGUGAGUACAGUAUAAUACAAUAUUUUAAGGUGGAAAAGGAGAGAUAUAUAGAGACCAUAUUAACAUAACUUUUAUUAUAGUAUAUUGUUCUAUUUUUAUUAUUAGUUAUUGUUAUUAAUCUCUUACUGUGCCUAAUUUAUAAAUUACUUUUUGUCAUAGAUGUGUAUUUAUAGGAAAACACAUAGUGUAUAUAGGGUUUGGUACUGUCCAUGGUUUUAGGCAUCCGCUGGUGGUCUUGGAAUGCAUCUCCAUGGAUACAGGGGGACUACUGUACACAAAUGUUUAUAGCAGCUUUAUGCAUAGUUUCCAGAACUCCUUUCUGCUCCUUCCCCAUAAGUAAAGGGAUUUAUUCUUUUAUCCAUCCCGGCCUCCCAGCUACAAUGGCUUUUUACCUUAAGGCAGGCUCUGAGCCAUUGUUUCUGCCAUCAUCAGUUAUUUAACCACAAUCAUUCUAGAGACCACAGUGUCAGCAAGC